UCUAAGCGUGAAGCCCCCCUCAAGAUGAGAUAUCCCAUCGCAAGAGUAAGACCCCUUGAAGACGACGAGGUAGAUAGGGCAGAGGUGGAAGUGCGGUAACGUAUGGAGCUGACUGUCACUAAUAGGUCGAGGGCUUAACCAAGUU
Molecule: ribosomal RNA, 145 nt
Filed under: Hungatella hathewayi
Lineage: Bacteria; Bacillati; Bacillota; Clostridia; Lachnospirales; Lachnospiraceae
Description: partial 23S ribosomal RNA
Rfam family: Bacterial large subunit ribosomal RNA
Source: RNAcentral